Molecule: small nucleolar RNA, 139 nt
Organism: Setaria italica (foxtail millet)
Lineage: Eukaryota; Viridiplantae; Streptophyta; Magnoliopsida; Poales; Poaceae
Rfam family: Small nucleolar RNA Z247
About the family: Z247 is a member of the C/D class of snoRNA which contain the C (UGAUGA) and D (CUGA) box motifs.
Source: Rfam
ACCAUCGACGAUGACGAACUAGUCUCCUACAUCCUCGCCAGGCUCGACUACAACUACAACCCGAUCGUCACGUCCCUCACCGCUAGGAUCGAACCGCUCAACGUGGGAGAGGCGUACUCCCAACUGCUCGCAUUCGAGC